UUGCGGCCACAUCACGUUGAAACACCAGUUCUCGUACGAUCACCGAAGUUAAGCAACAUUGAGUGAUCAGUACCUAAAUGGGUGAUCAUUUGGGAUACCAGGUAC
Acanthosepion pharaonis is the source of this 105-nucleotide non-coding RNA. The record is from the annotation of a GenBank genome assembly. Lineage: Eukaryota; Metazoa; Mollusca; Cephalopoda; Sepiida; Sepiidae.